RNAcentral lists this ribosomal RNA (402 nucleotides) under Bacteroidota bacterium. RNAcentral's name for it is "Bacteroidetes bacterium partial 16S ribosomal RNA". It matches the Rfam family "Bacterial small subunit ribosomal RNA", at positions 355 to 776 of the family's 1533-position model. The record is from RNAcentral. Lineage: Bacteria; Pseudomonadati; Bacteroidota.
CGGGGAAUUUUGCACAAUGGGGGAAAACCUGAUGCAGCGACGCCGCGUGAUUUAGAAGGCCUUCGGGUUGUAAAAAUCUUUUCUAUGGGAAGAAAAUGACAGUACCAUAGGAAUAAGGACCGGCUAAUUACGUGCCAGCAGCCGCGGUAAUACGUAAGGUCCGAGCGUUGUCUGGAAUCAUUGGGAGUAGAGGGUACGUAGGCGGGUAAGCAAGUUAGAAGUGAAAUCCUGUAGCUCAACUACAGUAAGCUUUUAAAACUGCUCAUGUUUAUAUAUGGGAGGGAAAGAGUAAUUCCUGGUGUAGCGGUGAAAUGCGCAGAUAGUAGGAGGAAUACCGGUGGCGAAGGCGACUUUCUGGCCAUAAUCUGACGCUGAGGUACGAAAGCGUGGGUAGCAAGCAGU